UCAACAGAAACAACUCGGUGUUUCCAUAAAGUCCAGAUCUUAACUAGAUUCUCUUCUCAAAAUUUUCUAGUGUGGCUCUUGUAUUUCUUCCUAUCCUAAUCUAAUUAGGACUCCAAAAAUUCUGUAAUGGAAGAUGAGAGUCCUACUCAUGCUGUCCAGUUUUUUCAUGGUGAUCUAACUGUGAAUUGAUCAAGGAUAAAGAAGAAGGAGAUUUCAGAAAUUCUGCGUUCAAGUCAAGUUCCUCCCAUAUGCAUUCAUGUUGAAUUGACAAAGGUAGAAGCUGUUGUUGUCCAUUGUUGCUGCUGUGUUAAUCAAGAUGGUUCUUAUGCAAAUAGGCUGCUGAAUCAUAGUUGAAAGACAACAUACAGAUCUGGAUUUCAAUUUGUCUUCAUUAUGCAAGAUUGGAUUUAUGCAAUGUUGAACCGAAAAUUUCCAGUGCUGAAAGCUCAUCAAUUAAUUGAAGAACCUUUUAUGUUCUGUUGUCCCUACUGCUGCCACGAACAUACAUACUAUUGUUGCUGGUACCAUGAUUGAAUGAGGGUAUAUCUGAAAUUGAAGUGCUGCCAUCUUUAAUUUAGAUAUGUGGAGGAAGUUAUUGGUUGUUGUUUGAAGUCGCCUAAAAGACAUCUUGUCUGAGAAGGUGUGCAUGGAUUGAAGAGCAAAAAAUCAAAGUGGAUUCAUUAUUUGAUUUCUAUUGAAUGUAAGUCUAUUAUUGGGUUGCGAGUAGACUUGAUGUUUUAGGGUUUUUUUAUUGUAAACCUAUGUUUAUUGGUGAUUGGUUGUAAACGUUGUUGCGUGGGUGCAUGACAACUGUAAUUGAGGUUGUAGCUCCAAAUACAGUGGGUAUUGUGCUGAAUUUUGUAAAGAGGUCAGUGCUCCUGUGUCAUGGGUGCGAUACGAAUUGGGGUUGGUGCUCCUAAUUGUGGGUGCAGUCGAAUUAUCAAGACCGGAUUUGAGUUGUAGCUCAAACGGUCAUUUGCUUUGUGGAUGUUGGCACACUACCGAACCACAUA
This is a long non-coding RNA of Macadamia integrifolia, 1013 nucleotides long. RefSeq lists it as uncharacterized. NCBI's taxonomy places the organism in Eukaryota, Viridiplantae, Streptophyta, Magnoliopsida, Proteales, Proteaceae. The transcript is spliced from 2 exons. The record is from RefSeq and is a predicted model, not a curated record.